Long non-coding RNA from Nothoprocta perdicaria, 151 nucleotides. RefSeq lists it as uncharacterized. The record is from RefSeq and is a predicted model, not a curated record. NCBI's taxonomy places the organism in Eukaryota, Metazoa, Chordata, Aves, Tinamiformes, Tinamidae. The transcript is spliced from 2 exons.
CAGGCUGUCUCUGACAGAAGAAUACAGUUCAUCAAAAGUGUCUGCAGGUUGUCAAACUCGUUCCUUUUAGAACACUGUACAAAAAGACAGAAGGAAAUUCUCCAUUCAGUGCGUGAGCAUAACUGCUAUUAAUACCGAGGGGAGUUAAGUG